Molecule: long non-coding RNA, 1437 nt
Organism: Chenopodium quinoa (quinoa)
Lineage: Eukaryota; Viridiplantae; Streptophyta; Magnoliopsida; Caryophyllales; Amaranthaceae
Exons: 3
Source: RefSeq, a predicted model, not a curated record
UCGUGUGUUAUCUCCUCUUUCUCUCUUUGUUUUACACUUUCAUUCUCCAUUGAAGCUUUGCAAGGAAGAACUUGCCCACCAAAGUCGCACGAAAGUCUACUCCAGCCACAAGCAGAGUAAAGAAGGAAGCCCCAUCGUUUCAGACCUAGAAUUGUCGCAAUUCGUGAGAUCGAAAGUAAUAGAUCAGGGAGGCCGCUGAAGCUUACUGGUUUGCCUUUUCAAACAUACCAACCUUUGCGUAAUUUGUGAUGAGAGGGCUUAAUUUGGGGGGUUUUAAUUGAAUCUUAAUGUCUAGGGUUUGGGGUUUUUUUUUUCAAGAAAUUAUAGUUUUUCUUUGCUUGCAUAUAAUUUAAUCAUGUUUGUUUAUGCUUGUUAUGUUUAAUUGUUGAUUGUUAAAAAAAAAUUGGGUUUAAUCGUCCAUUUUUUUGGAAUUUUGUUUCACUAUUGAGGUAAUUGGACGACAAAUUGAAUGACUCUUUGGAAAUUAAGUAAUCGAUGCAGAAUUUAUAUUAAAUGUUGAUUAAUUGCUUUGAUAGUCUUGUUGUUCAAGCACAACAAUUCGAAAUCUAACCCCUUUUUUCUCUAUUGUUUUUUGCUCAAGUGUUGACUUAAUUAAGAUUAUCUUUGUCUGGGUUUAUCAUUCCAUUUGAAUGAUGAACUGGGUGUAAUUUUUUUUUAAAAAAAGGGAAUUGGGUGUAUUUUAAAUGUUGAUUAAUUGGCUAUGGUAGAUUAUUGUUGUUGUUGAGUUUGUAUCACUUAUGCCUCUAAUGUUAUCUUCCAAUCCCUUGUUUUUUCUUCAGAAAGAUCGGCUCGUAGUCUAGGAUUUCGAUAAUGUAUACAAGAAAAGAGUUUAUACAAAUAUUCACUCUUGCUUGCUCAACACUAUGAGGUUAAUCUUAAUGUAUUAGCUGCCUCAGUGUAGACACUUCCUCUGGUACAGUGGCCUUCGAUAAUAUGAGGUCCAAGAAGUUGGCAGAUGUUGUAUGUCUUAGAUAUUAACUUAGAGAAGAAACAAGGAGAGAUAAUUACUAGAGGUCAUAAAAACUUUGAGCUUAUGCUCAAUCUACAAUUAGGAACCAGUGGACCCCUGUACAUAUUCAACUGGAAAUAUUGACGAAAUUAGAGACUUGUGGGCUAAGUAUGUUCUAGAGCUUGAACAAGAUGAUGUUAAUGAAGAUGGUAUAGACAUUGCGUGAGUUUAGUUUGUCCAUUACUUUUGGGAAAAGUAUUGCGAUUUUUAGAAUUUUUUGUAUAGUACUUUUGGAGCUUAUCUUAGAUGGCAUGGAAAUUAAAUGAGUGGUUUAUAUUUUUGGAGAAUACUGGAUUUUUUUUGCAGAUAUUGCUGUAUAGUAUUUUUGGAGGUUAUACUAUAAUUAAUGGAUAUUUGUAAAAGUGUUUAUCAACUUUUGUUUAUUAUUGUAUGUUCCAUGAAUAUUA